Long non-coding RNA from Magallana angulata, 1883 nucleotides. RefSeq lists it as uncharacterized. Lineage: Eukaryota; Metazoa; Mollusca; Bivalvia; Ostreida; Ostreidae. The record is from RefSeq and is a predicted model, not a curated record. The transcript has 3 exons.
UAUAAGAAUCACCUUGUCUGUCCGUUCGACUAUUCGUCUGUUCGUCUUCUGUGCAAUUGGACUUAAAAAAGUUUUGCUUAAAUUAAUUGUAAAGAUGUGCGAUUGUCAACAUUUUACUGGAAAAUCCUGAUUUUAUUUUUAAUAUCUAUCAUGAUGCUAAUUGAUAUGAUACAUUGCGGUGAUUAUUAUUGCAGGGAUGAUUUUCACUAAAACCCCUAUUGCACUUGUAGCUAAUAAGCUCAAUUGAAAUUUAGAAGACAUGCUAAUUAUGUCACUUAUUAAAUAACUUGUUUAACAAGUGUGCAAAAUUACUCCUGAUGAUAGCGGGUUUGCAGCUCAUAAUUUAACAAUUUUAAAUAUAAAAUCAAAAACUUUGUGUCAAGCCGCUGAAACAACAAUAAGAUGUUGGUUAAAUAAUAUAAGGACUGAUUGUUUGUAGGAAUGCAGUUACACGCUGCAGGAGCUGAGUAGAAAUCCCUUGGUCAACUGACAUUUUCACCUUGUAAAAAUUUAAAAUACAACUGUACAAUGUUUUUGAAUUUCCCCGCAAACCCAAAGCAAUUCCAGAAAUAUAACAGUAUCGUGAAACUCUGGGGGAAUGCAAUCUGGUGUGACAGGACCUAAGCUUUGAGAAAACAAUCAGGUAACCAGAAAUUUGCAUUUGUCAAAUUCUUUGAGCUGGAUGAUAGUAACAAACAUUAUUAGGAUGUAAAAUUUGAAUUACAGUUCUCAUAUGAAAUGCAAUCAUUAUAUUAAUAUACAUGUAAAUUAUAUCUUACACAAGCUAACAAUUACCCCCACCCCCUUCCUAACAAAAUCACAACAUACACGAGCUAUAAUUCAAUAGUGUACUCGUAGUUUUGAUAAAUCUACAAAUCUACCUCAGGUAUUAAGUAGGAUAUUUUAGGUAAAAAAAAUCCAACUCACUUUUUGGCUUGCUUGGAGUACCUCAUGUUUAUCAACUAGAAAAUUUCUAAUAUCAAAAUACUCCAGUAUAUUCUGUAAAUAACUUCUCAGCAUGCAUGGUCAAUAGAAAUGUCAUGACCUAAAGCCCAUAUUCCUCUGCUUCAUGUCACCCCCGGCCAUUUCAAGCUGAGUAACAACUUGUUGUUACAUGCACAUGCUAAGGUCCUCUAUCAGAUGUCAAUCACUAACUGGAUGCUGAUAAGAUGUUCGGGGUGUGCUAAUAAUAGUAACUGUGUGAAAUUUGAGAGCUUUCAACAGCAGAUCACUGCUUUAGGAACAGAUGCAAAAUGUGGUCGCAAAUUUAAUUUAAGAUCAACGCUGCGUGUGUACUUUAAUUCUGAAGCAGAACAGAAAUAUUGUUUGGAAAUUGCAGUUGCAAACUUUGCAGGAUGCAUGCAUCAAGGUAAUGAUGAUUGGCAGUGACAAAAUAUUUUGCCUGGUGGAUUUUGAUUUGAAAUCACUGCAUUUGAAUUGUUUGCUGGUCUAGUGGAUGGGGAGCAUUGAUUUGGACAGAGCUUGAUCGGGAUGGAAGAUGCUUGAAGAUUAAGAUUCUAUAGAAGAUCUGGACAUCCCCCCUGGGAGGAAAUCAAUGAGGCCACAGAAAAGUUCAAAAGCCAUCCAGCCAGUCACACAGUAUGAACAGAAGAUAAACAGAACAGAAGAUAAACCUUGAUUCAUGUCAACCAUGUAUCAAAGACCGAAUUAAGUGAAAGUGCUUUCUGGAAAAUGCAGCUCUACUUGGGAACUCCAUCCUGAAUUUGAUGGAUGCGAGCUUUAUGUUUUUAGUAAUUAUAAAAUCAUAUGCAUUGAGACAAUUAUUAAUAUAGUUAAAUUUUUAAUUAUAUAAACAAUCUAAUCCAAUUACAAACUAAACUUGAUAUUUAAUAUAAAAAGAAAUAUUAAAUUGGUAUUCUUAA